GGGAAUCUUCGGCAAUGGGGGCAACCCUGACCGAGCAACGCCGCGUGAGUGAAGAAGGUUUUCGGAUCGUAAAGCUCUGUUGUAAGUCAAGAACGGGUGUGAGAGUGGAAAGUUCACACUGUGACGGUAGCUUACCAGAAAGGGACGGCUAACUACGUGCCAGCAGCCGCGGUAAUACGUAGGUCCCGAGCGUUGUCCGGAUUUAUUGGGCGUAAAGCGAGCGCAGGCGGUUUGAUAAGUCUGAAGUUAAAGGCUGUGGCUCAACCAUAGUUCGCUUUGGAAACUGUCAAACUUGAGUGCAGAAGGGGAGAGUGGAAUUCCAUGUGUAGCGGUGAAAUGCGUAGAUAUAUGGAGGAACACCGGUGGCGAAAGCGGCUCUCUGGUCUGUAACUGACGCUGAGGCUCGAAAGCGUGGGGAGCGAACAGGAUUAGAUACCCUGGUAGUCCACGCCGUAAACGAUGAGUGCUAGGUGUUGGAUCCUUUCCGGGAUUCAGUGCCGCAGCUAACGCAUUAAGCACUCCGCCUGGGGAGUACGACCGCAAGGUUGAAACUCUAAGUGAA
Molecule: ribosomal RNA, 562 nt
Filed under: uncultured bacterium
Lineage: Bacteria
Description: partial 16S ribosomal RNA
Rfam family: Bacterial small subunit ribosomal RNA
Source: RNAcentral